This 468-nucleotide ribosomal RNA is filed under the name uncultured bacterium. RNAcentral's name for it is "partial 16S ribosomal RNA". It matches the Rfam family "Bacterial small subunit ribosomal RNA", at positions 28 to 507 of the family's 1533-position model. The record is from RNAcentral.
GACGAACGCUGGCGGCGUGCUUAACACAUGCAAGUCGAACGGAAAGGCCCUGCUUUUGUGGGUUUCUCGAUUGGCGAGCGGGUGAGUAACACGUGAGUAACCUGCCCUUGUCUUUGGGAUAACUUCAGGAAACUGGGGCUAAUACCGGAUAGGAUCUCCUGCUGCAUGGUGGGGGUUGGAAAGUUUCGGCGGUUGUGGAUGGACUCGCUGCUUAUCAGCUUGUUUGUGGGGUAGUGGCUUACCAAGGCUUUGACGGGUAGCCGGCCUGAGAGGGUGAACGGCCACAUUGGGACUGAGAUACGGACCAGUAUCCAACGGGAGGCAGCAGUGGGGAACAUUGCGGAGUGGGCGGAAGCCAGAUGCAGAAACGCCGCGAGCGGGAUAACGGCCUUCGGGUUGUAAACAGAUUUCGAAGGUGCCGAAGCGUGCGUGACGGUAACGGGUAAAGAAGCCACGGCUAACUACGUG